AUACGGAGGGUGCAAGCGUUAUUCGGAAUCACUGGGCGUAAAGGACGCGUAGGCGGGUUGGCAAGUCAGAUGUGAAAUCCUACAGCUUAACUGUAGAACUGCAUUUGAAACUGCUAACCUAGAGUAUGGGAGGGGGAGAUGGAAUUAGUGGUGUAGGGGUAAAAUCCGUAGAUAUCACUAGGAAUACCGAAAGCGAAGGCGAUCUCCUGGAACAUAACUGACGCUAAGGCGUGAAAGCGUGGGGAGCAAACAGGAUUAGAAGCCCUAGUAGUCC
This 274-nucleotide ribosomal RNA is filed under the name uncultured bacterium. RNAcentral describes it as "partial 16S ribosomal RNA". It matches the Rfam family "Bacterial small subunit ribosomal RNA", at positions 523 to 796 of the family's 1533-position model. The record is from RNAcentral.